ACUCGGUCGUUGCCGCUUCUGGUUGAUUAUUCAUGAUUCGAUACCGACACUGUUCAUAACAAACAUUUUAACCUUGGUUGAACAAAAACUAAGGUUCCACCUCUCUGACCAUUAGAUGUAAUAUAAAUUGGGUUAUUCUUUUUACUUCUCGUAUGGUCAGGUAUUUAAUGUAUAUUAUCGCACCGCGGGUAAAUUAUCACGUUGUGAUUGGUUUAAAGCCGUCACGUGGUGACCCCCUAUGGGACCGUAGGGGGGAUAGUAAAUUUCAUAGGGGGUUCAUGACGCGUUAAUAGUGACGUCAUCUAUCAAUGUUGUUGUGUUUAAUUGUUUAUUUUUCAACAAAACGCAGCAGAAAAAGUCUAGCGUGCGAUAAAUUCGUUAUACGGUUAACUACUGACCCCUACGAAUCCAUAGAGGGUGAAUAAAAUCCAUAGGGGACUCGGCCUCCGGCCUCACCCCCUAUGGAUUUUACUAAUCCUCUAUGGAUCCGUAGGGGGUCAGUAGCGAACCAUAUAACUUAUAAUAUAUCCCUUGUUUUUCAAAUUUGUGUUAAGAUUGAGCGUUUCUGAUGGAGAAACACCAUAACAAGGUCUUCGGGCUCCAUAUUUAAUUAAAAAAGUGUUUUUCAUAAAUAUGUUGUAAACUUGGGCCAAAUACCAUGUACCAGUCUUGUUAAAUCUGGUUUGGUUCGAUCCUGUUUUGCUCAUUUGGAUGUGUAAUUUUAC
RNAcentral lists this long non-coding RNA (725 nucleotides) under Mytilus galloprovincialis (Mediterranean mussel). Lineage: Eukaryota; Metazoa; Mollusca; Bivalvia; Mytilida; Mytilidae. The record is from RNAcentral.